Molecule: ribosomal RNA, 60 nt
Filed under: Sophora flavescens
Lineage: Eukaryota; Viridiplantae; Streptophyta; Magnoliopsida; Fabales; Fabaceae
Description: partial 26S ribosomal RNA
Source: RNAcentral
GACCUCAGGUCAGGCGGGGCUACCCGCUGAGUUUAAGCAUAUCAAUAAGCGGAGGAGAAU